UGCAUCACCAUAGCAGCCAAGCAAGUAGACAUCAUCGACAUGUACUCACCGCUUUCCUCGCAAUGGAGAAAGAGUCAAACAAAAAAUAUCAGACCAUGAUAUGACACCAGACCAUAGAUUAGUAACUUUAAAUCACAAAGUAUACCCACAACACCAUAAAAUAGUCCCAAACCCGAGUGUUAUUUGAGUAUAUCGCAUGUAGUUUAUUUUCAUGAUUCCAGAAACAUGGAAGGGUUCAAUACAGUCCUAAUAUACAUUCAUAUUACAAUAGCUCGAUAAGUCCAGAAAUAUGUUGUAUAUGCACGAUAAGUCUAGAAACCCCAGUGCUAUUUAUUUACUGGUUUUACUGAAUCACACUACAUUACUGCCCUUAUUAGAAAUCUCUCGCAUGAAUCUGGGUGCAGGGUAGAUGCCUUUUUUAUAUGUUCUACAUUACUACCCCAAGAAACAUUGGCUUUGAACGCUUGUGCCAACUCGUUUAUCAACAGACAUAUUCUAGCAGAGAGGCACUCUGAUUUGCCUGUGUGGAUCUGGACAAUUCCCCUCGCUCUACGAGAAGCUACCGAAUAAACAGUUUCACACAUCUGUUGAUUGGUUUUGAUACUCAUAACAAAAGGAUGCAGCAUAUAAACAGCAGCCACGGCACAACUACAACGCGGCUCAAAUUUCAAGUUGUUGUGAUUUGCCUGUAGCAUGCUGCCUAAGCAACGGCAAUGCAUAGUGGUACAGCUGAGAGAUCAGUAGCAUCAACACAUUAGCCCUACUUGGAUCACACGCCCAUGUACAGGCCCCAGAGACAAUUCAACCAAAUUGGCCAGGUUCGAGCAGAGCACAAAGGCAAAGACAAAGUAUAUAUCAAUGCCUACAAUCUUCAGUUCAGUACACAUCUCUUUAGAACAAAGUAAUAUUCAGAAUUCAUAUAUCAGUAUAUAUUCAGAAUUGAACCACCAAUGACAGCUUUACUAAUAUCUCAUUAGUAGAGAGUAAACACCAGCAAACUAAUUUCAUCUUGAAGGGUAGUUUUGUAGCAGCAACAAGCAUUAAAACAAGCUACUCUUGUUACUAUAGUGCAGUUCAGUACUAUAGUUCAGUACCAUAUGCCUACAAUCAGAAACAAGCUUCAGUACAGUCAAAGUAUAAUUACAAAUAGGAUUAAGAAUCAAACUUGUUACUCAUGGGAUCCUGGCACAGAGCGUUCAGUAAAGAGUAUAACACAAGCCACACUUAUAAACACAAGCUUCAGUUCAGUGCAGAAAUAAACAAGCCUCAAAUUGUGAGCAGUAGUGUUAGAUUGUUUACCUUCAGAGUUCUUCUUCUCCCACCUCCCCAUCCUUCACAAAGCCGCCCUCCACAUGAACAAAUCAAGCUUUCAGUUCAACAAUCAACACCAUUCACCUCUUCAUCCUCACUAUUUCCUCACUAUUUCUGCCUCCUCUGCCAGCGCGCCCUGGUCGGACUCAUCGCCGCACUCGUCAUUCAAUAAAGAGUAUAACACAAGCUACACUUAUAAACACAAGCUUCAGUUCAGUGCAGAAAUAAACAAGCCUCAGAUUGUGAGCAGCAGUGUUAGAUUGUUUACCUUCAUAGUUCUUCUUCUCCCACCUCCCCAUCCUUCACAAAGCCACCCUCCACCAGAACAAAUCAAGCUUUCAGUUCAACAAUCAAAACCAUUCAUCUUAAGUGAUCUUAAAUAGCUAGCAACAAAGUCUACUACAACAUCUCAGUCAAUUAAAUCACAUAUGAUUGUGGGACUUUGAUUAACCAAAAUAGUGC
RNAcentral lists this long non-coding RNA (1773 nucleotides) under Triticum aestivum (bread wheat). Its description in RNAcentral is "long non-coding RNA (TAES_LNC021348)". The record is from RNAcentral. Lineage: Eukaryota; Viridiplantae; Streptophyta; Magnoliopsida; Poales; Poaceae.